Molecule: long non-coding RNA, 351 nt
Filed under: Mytilus galloprovincialis (Mediterranean mussel)
Lineage: Eukaryota; Metazoa; Mollusca; Bivalvia; Mytilida; Mytilidae
Source: RNAcentral
GAGCUCUUCAAAAUUCGAAAGAAUGCUGCAGAUCCAAACCACAAUUUACAUAUCCACCCUUCCUGUGUCAAAAUUAUACAAUAAAUAUACAACUUUUUAUGUCUUCAAUUAGUAAGUAUUGUUUAAAUUAUGUCCUAAAUUGUUCAUUUUAUUAAAUCCGUUGAAUUGUCACACUCGCAGUUUUCUGACGUUUUGGCGUAUUUGUAAAGUGUCUUAUGAAAAGUAAUAGGCAGUUGCAGUCUUUUCUACGAUAUGAAAUUUUAUUCAAACGUGAAAACUUUUUUUUUAAGUGUAUGAAAAAAAAUUGUGUCGAAGUUUUAAAAGAAAAUAUUGAAAGAAAAAAUAAACGCG